UGGGGAAUAUUGCACAAUGGGCGAAAGCCUGAUGCAGCAACGCCGCGUGAGGGACGACGGCCUUCGGGUUGUAAACCUCUUUUAGCAAGGAAGGAGCGAAAGUGACGGUACUUGCAGAAAAAAGCGACCGGCUAACUACGUGCCAGCAGCCGCGGUAAUACGUAGGGCGCAAGCGUUAUCCGGAAUUAUUGGGCGUAAAGAGCUCGUAGGCGGUUUGUCGCGUCUGCUGUGAAAAACCCCGAGGCUCAACCUCGGGCCUGCAGUGGGUACGGGCAGACUGGAGUGCGGUAGGGGAGAUUGGAACUCCUGGUGUAGCGGUGGAAUGCGCAGAUAUCAGGAACGAAGCACCGAUGGCGAAGGGCAGAUCUCAUGGGCCGUAACUGAC
This 385-nucleotide ribosomal RNA is filed under the name uncultured bacterium. RNAcentral describes it as "partial 16S ribosomal RNA". It matches the Rfam family "Bacterial small subunit ribosomal RNA", at positions 355 to 744 of the family's 1533-position model. The record is from RNAcentral.